Molecule: non-coding RNA, 1619 nt
Organism: Pogona vitticeps (central bearded dragon)
Lineage: Eukaryota; Metazoa; Chordata; Lepidosauria; Squamata; Agamidae
Source: RefSeq, a predicted model, not a curated record
CGCGGUCCCCUCACAGCGCAGGGAACUCAACGCUGCGACUGCGCGGCUCGAACCAACGGGCACAGGACGAAGGGAGGCGGUGGAGGCGGAAGCGGAGGCUUCCUCCAAGCAUUUAAAGGCGGGAGGGGGUGGUCAAGCCUGUUAUCUAAUCCUAUGUUGCUCUGUAAUGAAAGCAAUAACAGUCUCGGCCAAGCCGAAAACCUAGGCGACCGAUGACGUUACUUGCCUUAAGCCCCCCCCCGAGUCAUGUGAUCCAGUACAGUGAAAGCUGCGGGUUCUGCAAUUAAAAUCCGGCGUCCCUCAAUGAUAUCAAAUGGUCCGUGACGAGAAGCGUAGAAACGCAAACGAGCUUGACUUUUAUGGCUCAAGCCGAAGGGGAGGGGAAGGGAGGAAGACCCGGAUUAAUUAUGUUUAAAAUGUCCAGGGUUAACAAAGCGUACUGCCUCUAUACGCAAUGCGCUUUGAAAAACUCCCGUCCCUUUUUUCCCCCUGCACAAUCCAUGAAGGAGGCGUGGCUAGCCUGAGGAAGCGGAUUUCACUCACGAAAGGUUGAUAUUGGAUUUUUUUUUUUUUUAGUGGCCCAAUGAAAGGUAUUGCCCACACGCUUGGCACUUGUGUGAUCUUGGAGAACCAAACUGGCUUCUCCUGGUUCUCCCUUCGCUUUAAUGGUUCUCCUGAGUCUGUGGUGGGUUUAAUUCGAUGGGCGGACUUAGUUAGUAGCAAUGACGAAACGCCCAACCAAUCGAGUUGGCCUAACGAGCGCUUUGGGUGGGACCCACGCGAGGUUUGUCCCGACGGGGUGGCGUUCUAGCCAAUUAGAGAAAAGCUAGGGUUUUAGGGCACGCACACAAACGACUCCGAGUGAAAGCUGCGUAUUCGAGCGGCUCCACCAAUACGCCGUCGGAGGGUUUAUAGGAGGCCCCCAACUACGAUCAUAAAUUUAUAAGGCGGAGCUUGACUUGAUAGGCAGCUAUGGCAACUCAUGCGUCGCGAAAUGUUUGAGGAGUUGCCCAAUGGCAAACGAGGAAAGGAAGGAAAAGGGCAGACCACCCUUCAGAUAGUCAGGCAGCGGAACCAAUGGACAUUCACGUUAUUGUAAGAUGCUCCAAUCAGCGGAGCGAAGGGCGGGCCUUGAUGUGUUUGGGUUCGUGCUCCUCCAGGGAGUGAGACGGCGACGGUGGCGGCGACGAGGAAAGUUUAUUUUUUGGUGGUGGAUCCCCCCCUCCCCCACCAUUUGUUUUGAUCUAGGCGUCUGGUGGCUAACUUUCGCCGUCUGGCGAGCGAGGCGGGAAAAGCAGUCCCCUCAGCAGCGCUGGAAAGAAGGAGGAGGUGGGCUCCGCCUGUGCACCGUUGCGAGCGAAAAAGGCGACGUCCGUGGCUUCUUGUAGUGGCUUGGCUUUUGCACUGAAUGUAACCAGACGGAUCUUUUUGGGCUUCACUAGCCCUGAGAAGCUGUUGAGAACUUCAUAGUUCAGCAAAGUUUUGCACAGAUUCUGGUCCCAUGCAAACUGAUGAGGGAGAAAUUUUGGAGGAAGGCAGUUCCAAGAUGGAACAUGAGGAUUUUGUAAUGGAAGGGCAUGGCAAGACUCCACCUCCUGGUGAAGAAAACAAACAGUGAG